This 508-nucleotide ribosomal RNA is filed under the name Candida albicans. Its description in RNAcentral is "eukaryotic LSU rRNA". The stretch from base 141 to 294 matches the Rfam family "5.8S ribosomal RNA". The record is from RNAcentral. Lineage: Eukaryota; Fungi; Ascomycota; Pichiomycetes; Serinales; Debaryomycetaceae.
GGGCUCUGAUGCUAUUGCACCACAUGUGUUUUUCUUUGAAACAAACUUGCUUUGGCGGUGGGCCCAGCCUGCCGCCAGAGGUCUAAACUUACAACCAAUUUUUUAUCAACUUGUCACACCAGAUUAUUACUAAUAGUCAAAACUUUCAACAACGGAUCUCUUGGUUCUCGCAUCGAUGAAGAACGCAGCGAAAUGCGAUACGUAAUAUGAAUUGCAGAUAUUCGUGAAUCAUCGAAUCUUUGAACGCACAUUGCGCCCUCUGGUAUUCCGGAGGGCAUGCCUGUUUGAGCGUCGUUUCUCCCUCAAACCGCUGGGUUUGGUGUUGAGCAAUACGACUUGGGUUUGCUUGAAAGACGGUAGUGGUAAGGCGGGAUCGCUUUGACAAUGGCUUAGGUCUAACCAAAAACAUUGCUUGCGGCGGCAACGUCUACCACGUAUAUCUUCAAACUUUGACCUCAAAUCAGGUAGGACUACCCGCUGAACUUAAGCAUAUCAAUAAGCGGAGGAA